ACGAACGCUGGCGGCGUGCUUAACACAUGCAAGUCGAACGGAAAGGCCCUGCUUUUGUGGGAUGCUCGAGUGGCGAACGGGUGAGUAACACGUGAGUAACCUGCCCUUGACUUUGGGAUAACUUCAGGAAACUGGGGCUAAUACCGGAUAGGAGCUCCUGCUGCAUGGUGGGGGUUGGAAAGUUUCGGCGGUUGGGGAUGGACUCGCGGCUUAUCAGCUUGUUGGUGGGGUAGUGGCUUACCAAGGCUUUGACGGGUAGCCGGCCUGAGAGGGUGACCGGCCACAUUGGGACUGAGAUACGGCCCAGACUCCUACGGGAGGCAGCAGUGGGGAAUAUUGCACAAUGGGCGGAAGCCUGAUGCAGCAACGCCGCGUGCGGGAUGACGGCCUUCGGGUUGUAAACCGCUUUCGCCUGUGACGAAGCGUGAGUGACGGUAAUGGGUAAAGAAGCACCGGCUAACUACGUG
This 467-nucleotide ribosomal RNA is filed under the name uncultured bacterium. Its description in RNAcentral is "partial 16S ribosomal RNA". It matches the Rfam family "Bacterial small subunit ribosomal RNA", at positions 29 to 507 of the family's 1533-position model. The record is from RNAcentral.